AUUGAACGCUGGCGGCAGGCCUAACACAUUCACGUCGAGCGAGCGGCGGACGGGUGAGUAAUGUAUGGGGACUGCCCGAUAGAGGGGGAUAACUACUGGAAACGGUGGCUAAUAACGCAUACUAUCGGAUAACCCAUAUGGGAUUAGCUAGUAGGCGGGGUAAAGGCUUGCCUAGGAGACGAUCUCUAGCUGGUCUGAGAGGAUGAUCAGCCAACUGGGGACUGAGACACGGCCCAGAAUCCUACGGAGGCAGCUGUGUGGAAUAUUGCACAGUGGGCGCAAGCCUGAUGCAACCAUGCCGCUUGGAUGAAGAAGGCCUUAGGGUUGUAAAGUACUUUCAGCGGGGAGGCGUUACCCGCAGAAGAAGCACCGGCUAACUCCGUGCCAGCAGCCGCGGUAAUAC
RNAcentral lists this ribosomal RNA (403 nucleotides) under uncultured bacterium. RNAcentral describes it as "partial 16S ribosomal RNA". It matches the Rfam family "Bacterial small subunit ribosomal RNA", at positions 30 to 526 of the family's 1533-position model. The record is from RNAcentral.